RNAcentral lists this ribosomal RNA (253 nucleotides) under uncultured bacterium. RNAcentral's name for it is "partial 16S ribosomal RNA". It matches the Rfam family "Bacterial small subunit ribosomal RNA", at positions 524 to 776 of the family's 1533-position model. RNAcentral also lists the same sequence under 1 other name. The record is from RNAcentral.
UACGUAGGGGGCAAGCGUUAUCCGGAAUUACUGGGUGUAAAGGGUGAGUAGGCGGCAUGGUAAGCCAGAUGUGAAAGCCUUGGGCUUAACCCGAGGAUUGCAUUUGGAACUAUCAAGCUAGAGUACAGGAGAGGAAAGCGGAAUUCCUAGUGUAGCGGUGAAAUGCGUAGAUAUUAGGAGGAACACCAGUGGCGAAGGCGGCCUGCUGGACGAUGACUGACGUUGAGGCUCGAAAGCGUGGGGAGCAAACAGG